AAAAGCUUUCUUUAAUUGAAUAAUUGAAUUUAAUUUUUUAGUGCAAAAGCAAAAAUAAAAAUUAGGGACAAGAAGACCCUAUGAAUUUUUUAUUAAAUUUUAUAAAACUUUAUAUAAAAUUUAAUUUAAUUGGGGUGAUGGAAAAAGAAUAAAUAUCUUUUUUUUUAAAGAAAAUUGGUUCCGUUUUUAGCGAUUAAAUGAAAAAAAUACUCUAGGGAUAACAGCGUAAUAAUUUUGGAUAGUUCAUAUAGAUAAAAUAGUUUGCGACCUCGAUGUUGGAUUAGGAUUCUUUUUUGGUGAAGAAGUUAAAAAAAGAAGUUUGUUCAACUUAUAAUUUCCUACUUGAUCUGAGUUCAGACCGG
Molecule: ribosomal RNA, 362 nt
Filed under: Ixodes ricinus (castor bean tick)
Lineage: Eukaryota; Metazoa; Arthropoda; Arachnida; Ixodida; Ixodidae
Description: partial 16S ribosomal RNA
Rfam family: Bacterial large subunit ribosomal RNA (bases 66-362)
Source: RNAcentral